GGUCAAGCGAAUAAGUGCAUGUGGUGGAUGCCUUGGCGAUCACAGGCGAUGAAGGACGUAGUAGCUUGCGAAAAGCUGCGGGGAGCUGGCAAACGAGCUUUGAUCCGCAGAUGUCCGAAUGGGGAAACCCGGCCCGUAUGGGUCAUCCCUUGCUGAAUACAUAGGCAAGGGAGGCGAACGCAGUGAACUGAAACAUCUAAGUAGCUGCAGGAAAAGAAAUCAACCGAGAUUCCCAAAGUAGUGGCGAGCGAAAUGGGAACAGCCUUGUACUCUUUAGCAGUAUUGUUAGCGGAACGGAAUGGAAAGUCCGGCCAUAGUGGGUGAUAGCCCCGUACGCGAAAACAGUAUUGUGGAACUAGGUGUACGACAAGUAGGGCGGGACACGUGAAAUCCUGUCUGAAGAUGGGGGGGACCAUCCUCCAAGGCUAAAUACUCGUGAUCGACCGAUAGUGAACCAGUACCGUGUGGGAAAGGCGAAAGAACCCGGGAGGGGAGUGAAAUAGAUCUGAAACCGCAUGCAUACAAACAGUCGGAGCCUGGAAACGGGUGACGGCGUACCUUUUGUAUAAUGGGUCAGCGACUUACAUUCAGUGGCAAGCUUAACCGAUUAGGGAAGGCGUAGCGAAAGCGAGUCCGAAUAGGGCGUUCAGUCGCUGGGUGUAGACCCGAAACCAAGUGAUCUAUCCAUGGCCAGGUUGAAGGUGCGGUAACACGUACUGGAGGACCGAACCCACUAACGUUGAAAAGUUAGGGGAUGAGCUGUGGAUAGGGGUGAAAGGCUAAACAAACUUGGAAAUAGCUGGUUCUCUCCGAAAACUAUUUAGGUAGUGCCUCGUGUCUCACCUUCGGGGGUAGAGCACUGUCAUGGUUGGGGGGUCUAUUGCUGAUUACCCCGCCAUAGCAAACUCCGAUACCGAAGAGUGCAAUCACGGGAGACAGACAUCGGGUGCUAACGUCCGGUGUCAAGAGGGAAACAACCCAGACCGCCAGCUAAGGUCCCUAAGAUUGGCUAAGUGGGAAACGAAGUGGGAAGGCUAAAACAGUCAGGAGGUUGGCUUAGAAGCAGCCCCCUUUAAAGAAAGCGUAAUAGCUCACUGAUCGAGUCGUCCUGCGCGGAAGAUGUAACGGGGCUAAGCCAGUCACCGAAGCUGCGGAUGCACGUAAGUGCAUGGUAGGAGAGCGUUCUGUAAGCCUGUGAAGGUGUCUUGUAAAGGAUGCUGGAGGUAUCAGAAGUGCGAAUGCUGACAUGAGUAGCGAUAAAGGGGGUGAAAGGCCCCCUCGCCGUAAGCCCAAGGUUUCCUACGCAACGUUCAUCGGCGUAGGGUGAGUCGGCCCCUAAGGCGAGGCAGAGAUGCGUAGCUGAUGGGAAGCAGGUUAAUAUUCCUGCACCGUCGUAUGAUGCGAUGGGGGGACGGAUCGCGGAAGGUUGUCCGGGUGUUGGAAGUCCCGGGUCCCUACAUUGGAGAUGGCACUUAGGCAAAUCCGGGUGCGUGAUUCAAGGGUGUGGGGCGAGCGACGUUAGGUCGCGAAGCAAUUGGAAGUGGUUCCAAGAAAAGCCUCUAAGCUUCAGUCAUACGAGACCGUACCGCAAACCGACACAGGUGGGCGAGAUGAGUAUUCUAAGGCGCUUGAGAGAACUCGGGAGAAGGAACUCGGCAAAUUGGUACCGUAACUUCGGGAUAAGGUACGCCCUUGUAGUUUGACUGGCUCGCGCCAGAAGGAUGAAGGGGUUGCAAUAAAAUGGUGGCUGCGACUGUUUAAUAAAAACACAGCACUCUGCAAACACGAAAGUGGAGGUAUAGGGUGUGACGCCUGCCCGGUGCGGAAGAUUAAAUGAUGGGGUGCAAGCUCUUGAUUGAAGUCCCGGGUAAACGGCGGCCGUAACUAUAACGGUCCUAAGGUAGCGAAAUUCCUUGUCGGGUAAGUUCCGACCUGCACGAAUGGCGUAACGAUGGCCACACUGUCUCCUCCCGAGACUCAGCGAAGUUGAAGUGUUUGUGAUGAUGCAAUCUCCCCGCGGCUAGACGGAAAGACCCCAUGAACCUUUACUGUAGCUUUGCAUUGGACUUUGAACCGAUCUGUGUAGGAUAGGUGGGAGGCUUUGAAACCGGGACGCUAGUUUCGGUGGAGCCGACCUUGAAAUACCACCCUGGUUUGUUUGAGGUUCUAACCUUGGCCCGUGAAUCCGGGUCGGGGACAGUGCAUGGUAGGCAGUUUGACUGGGGCGGUCUCCUCCCAAAGUGUAACGGAGGAGUUCGAAGGUACGCUUGGUACGGUCGGACAUCGUACCUAAAGUGCAAUGGCAAAAGCGUGCUUAACUGCGAGACCGACAAGUCGAGCAGGUGCGAAAGCAGGACAUAGUGAUCCGGUGGUUCUGUAUGGAAGGGCCAUCGCUCAACGGAUAAAAGGUACUCUGGGGAUAACAGGCUGAUACCGCCCAAGAGUUCAUAUCGACGGCGGUGUUUGGCACCUCGAUGUCGGCUCAUCUCAUCCUGGGGCUGUAGCCGGUCCCAAGGGUAUGGCUGUUCGCCAUUUAAAGAGGUACGUGAGCUGGGUUUAAAACGUCGUGAGACAGUUUGGUCCCUAUCUGCCGUGGGCGUUGGAAUCUUGACGGGGGCUGCUCCUAGUACGAGAGGACCGGAGUGGACGUACCGCUGGUGUACCUGUUGUCUCGCCAGAGGCAUCGCAGGGUAGCUAUGUACGGAAGAGAUAACCGCUGAAAGCAUCUAAGCGGGAAACUCGCCUGAAGAUGAGGAUUCCCUGGAGACUUGAUCUCCCUGAAGGGUCGUUCGAGACCAGGACGUUGAUAGGCUGGGUGUGGAAGCGCAGUAAUGCGUUCAGCUAACCAGUACUAAUUGCCCGUGCGGCUUGAUCCU
RNAcentral lists this ribosomal RNA (2876 nucleotides) under Ralstonia solanacearum. Its description in RNAcentral is "23S ribosomal RNA". It matches the Rfam family "Bacterial large subunit ribosomal RNA". The record is from RNAcentral. Lineage: Bacteria; Pseudomonadati; Pseudomonadota; Betaproteobacteria; Burkholderiales; Burkholderiaceae.